CAAAAACAUGUCUUUUUGAUUUUAAUUUAAAGUCUGACCUGCCCAAUGAUUAUUUGAAUGGCCGCAGUAUUUUGACUGUGCAAAGGUAGCAUAAUCAUUAGUUUUUUAAUUGAAAGCUGGAAUGAAUGGUUUGAUGAAAAAAUAACUGUCUCUUGAUAAAUUUUAUAGAAUUUUAAUUUUGAGUUAAAAAGCUCAAAUGUUUUACGAAGACGAGAAGACCCUAUAGAGUUUUAUAUACUAUUAUUUUGACUUUGAUAGGAUUUUGAUGGAGUUUAGAUUUUAGUUUAUUUUGUUGGGGUGACAUAGAAAUUUAGCUAACUUUCUGAUGUUUUUACACUGAUUAGUGAAUUAUUGAUCCUAGUUUUUAGAUUAUAAGAUUAAAUUACCUUAGGGAUAACAGCGUAAUUUUUUUAGAGAGUUCUUAUUGAUAAAAAAGUUUGCGACCUCGAUGUUGGAUUAAAGUUUAAUUUUGGUGAAGGAGCUUAAAAUUUAGGUCUGUUCGACCUUUAAAACUUUACAUGAUCU
This 525-nucleotide ribosomal RNA is filed under the name Akis italica. Its description in RNAcentral is "partial 16S ribosomal RNA". It matches the Rfam family "Bacterial large subunit ribosomal RNA", at positions 1808 to 2606 of the family's 2925-position model. RNAcentral also lists the same sequence under 1 other name. The record is from RNAcentral. Lineage: Eukaryota; Metazoa; Arthropoda; Insecta; Coleoptera; Tenebrionidae.